RNAcentral lists this ribosomal RNA (253 nucleotides) under uncultured bacterium. RNAcentral's name for it is "partial 16S ribosomal RNA". It matches the Rfam family "Bacterial small subunit ribosomal RNA", at positions 524 to 776 of the family's 1533-position model. The record is from RNAcentral.
UACGUAGGGGGCAAGCGUUGUCCGGAUUUAUUGGGCGUAAAGAGCGUGUAGGCGGCCAUGCAGGUCCGUUGUGAAAACUCGAGGCUCAACCUCGAGACGCCGAUGGAAACCGCAUGGCUAGAGUCCGGAAGAGGAGAGUGGAAUUCCUGGUGUAGCGGUGAAAUGCGCGGAUAUCAGGAGGAACACCGGUGGCGAAGGCGGGUCUCUGGGCAGUUACUGACGCUGAGGAGCGAAAGCGUGGGGAGCGAACAGG